RNAcentral lists this ribosomal RNA (497 nucleotides) under uncultured bacterium. RNAcentral describes it as "partial 16S ribosomal RNA". It matches the Rfam family "Bacterial small subunit ribosomal RNA", at positions 28 to 507 of the family's 1533-position model. The record is from RNAcentral.
GAUGAACGCUGGCGGCGUGCCUAAUACAUGCAAGUCGAGCGAACAGAUGAGGAGCUUGCUCCUCUGACGUUAGCGGCGGACGGGUGAGUAACACGUGGAUAACCUACCUAUAAGACUGGGAUAACUUCGGGAAACCGGAGCUAAUACCGGAUAAUAUAUUGAACCGCAUGGUUCAAUAGUGAAAGACGGUUUUGCUGUCACUUAUAGAUGGAUCCGCGCCGCAUUAGCUAGUUGGUAAGGUAACGGCUUACCAAGGCGACGAUGCGUAGCCGACCUGAGAGAGUGAUCGGCCACACUAGAACUGAGACACGGUCCAGACUCCUACGGGAGGCAGCAGUAGGGAAUCUUCCGCAAUGGGCGAAAGCCUGACGGAGCAACGCCGCGUGAGUGAUGAAGGUCUUCGGAUCGUAAAACUCUGUUAUUAGGGAAGAACAAAUGUGUAAGUAACUAUGCACGUCUUGACGGUACCUAAUCAGAAAGCCACGGCUAACUACGUG